RNAcentral lists this ribosomal RNA (253 nucleotides) under uncultured bacterium. RNAcentral describes it as "partial 16S ribosomal RNA". It matches the Rfam family "Bacterial small subunit ribosomal RNA", at positions 524 to 776 of the family's 1533-position model. The record is from RNAcentral.
UACGUAGGGGGCUAGCGUUGUCCGGAUUUAUUGGGCGUAAAGAGCGUGUAGGCGGCCAGGUAGGUCUGCUGUGAAAACUCGAGGCUCAACCUCGAGACGUCGGCGGAAACCAUCUGGCUAGAGUCCGGAAGAGGAGAGUGGAAUUCCCGGUGUAGUGGUGGAAUGCGUAGAUAUCGGGAGGAACACCAGUGGCGAAGGCGGUUGCCUGGAGCUUUGCUGACGCUGAGGCGCGAAAGCGUGGGGAGCGAUCCGG